UACGGGUGGCAGCAGUGGGGAAUAUUGCACAAUGGGCGCAAGCCUGAUGCAGCCAUGCCGCGUGUAUGAAGAAGGGCCUUCGGGGUUGUAAAGUACUUUUCAGUCGUGAGGAAGGUGUUAAGGUUAAUAACCUUAGCAAUUGACGUUAGCGACAGAAGAAGCACUGGCUAACUCCGUGCCAGCAGCCGCGGUAAUACGGAGGGUGCGAGCGUUAAUCGGAAUUACUGGGCGUAAAGGGCACGCAGGCGGUUAAUUAAGUUGGAUGUGAAAUCCCCGGGCUUAACCUGGGAAUGGCAUUCAAGACUGGUUAGCUAGAGUCUUGUAGAGGGGGUAGAAUUCCAUGUGUAGCGGUGAAAUGCGUAGAGAUGUGGAGGAAUACCGGUGGCGAAGGCGGCCCCUGGGACAAAGGACUGACGCUCAUGUGCGAAAGCGUGGGGAGCAAACGAGGGAUUAGGAU
This 457-nucleotide ribosomal RNA is filed under the name uncultured bacterium. Its description in RNAcentral is "bacterial SSU rRNA". It matches the Rfam family "Bacterial small subunit ribosomal RNA", at positions 340 to 784 of the family's 1533-position model. The record is from RNAcentral.